RNAcentral lists this long non-coding RNA (335 nucleotides) under Chinchilla lanigera (long-tailed chinchilla). RNAcentral's name for it is "lncRNA (ENSCLAG00000028275.1)". Lineage: Eukaryota; Metazoa; Chordata; Mammalia; Rodentia; Chinchillidae. The record is from RNAcentral.
CUAAGAGAUUCAGGCAAAAGCCAAAGUUCUCUUUGCCUGUAAGGCUCUGGAGACCUGGCCAGUAACAAAUACUCGGACUUCAUACCUCGACUGUCUUGCUCCUGGCUCCACCCAACAAGCAGGCUUUCCUGCCUCUCUCAGCAUAUAGAGGUGUGGAAACGGAUGGGCUGCUGAAGCAGGGCGGGCAGACUGAAACUGUUGCCGGGCCUCAACAGUUUCCCUGCCUAGAAAUCGGCCUGAAGCUGAUCUUUCUCUUCAUAAAAGAAACAAGUAAGUCUGUUGGCUUUCUCCUCGCCCGCCAGCUUUUCUGCCCAAGCUCAGCGCUCCUCUGUGGG